This is a long non-coding RNA of Chloebia gouldiae (Gouldian finch), 319 nucleotides long. The record is from Ensembl. NCBI's taxonomy places the organism in Eukaryota, Metazoa, Chordata, Aves, Passeriformes, Passeridae.
AAAGCUUCCGGGGUACCCACGGGGCACCACGAGAAACUUGGCAGAGCUUGAAGAGAUUUUUGACUGAAAUCAGAGAUUUAAAAGAGUGGAUGCCCUUAAACACUUUUUCCCUGAAAGAAAAUGGUGAUUGCUGUUUAACCUGACUGGCACUGUCUGAAUGGGAAGGGGAAGGAAUGAUAUUUGGAGCUAUCAAUAAUGAUUCUGAUUAAAAUACUGCAUACCUCAAAGAAGCAAGGAAUGGAAGGAUAUCUUUGGAAAUUUGUUACCUGGCAACACACAAGGUUACACAGAAUAAAGAAAAGAUGAAGAAAUUAUCACA